CCUACGGGAGGCAGCAGUGGGGAAUAUUGCACAAUGGAGCGCAAGCCUGAUCCAGCCACGCCGCGUGAGUGAUGAAGGCCUUCGGGUUGUAAAGCUCUUUCGGCAGGGACGAUAAUGACGGUACCUGCAGAAUAAGCCCCGGCUAACUUCGUGCCAGCAGCCGCGGUAAU
Molecule: ribosomal RNA, 170 nt
Filed under: uncultured bacterium
Lineage: Bacteria
Description: partial 16S rRNA
Rfam family: Bacterial small subunit ribosomal RNA
Source: RNAcentral